Molecule: transfer RNA, 83 nt
Filed under: Tanticharoenia sakaeratensis NBRC 103193
Lineage: Bacteria; Pseudomonadati; Pseudomonadota; Alphaproteobacteria; Acetobacterales; Acetobacteraceae
Rfam family: tRNA
About the family: Transfer RNA (tRNA) molecules are approximately 80 nucleotides in length. Their secondary structure includes four short double-helical elements and three loops (D, anti-codon, and T loops).
Source: Rfam by way of RNAcentral
GCGAGCUUGGCGGAAUGGUAGACGCACGAGACUUAAAAUCUCGAGUUCGAAUGAACGUGCGGGUUCGAGUCCCGCAGCUCGCA